RNAcentral lists this long non-coding RNA (240 nucleotides) under Nicotiana benthamiana. Its description in RNAcentral is "long non-coding RNA (NBEN_LNC007764)". The record is from RNAcentral. Lineage: Eukaryota; Viridiplantae; Streptophyta; Magnoliopsida; Solanales; Solanaceae.
ACGUCUGGAAAACCUUCAUCUUCUUCCUCCUCCCCACCUUCAUGACAUCCAUGGCUGCCCUCCUUCUUCUUCAACAAGAAACCACUCAAAACCCUAGUUUAAAAGCACCCCAUAAACCACCAUAACCAUCUGUUCGUCGUCAACCCUCCCAAACGAGCUCAACCUCACGUCGAACCACCAUAGCUGCUUCGUCCAUCCCUUCCUCCAGUCCGUCGGCGACGGUCGACCACUGUCACGACC